CCUACGGGAGGCAGCAGUGGGGAAUAUUGCACAAUGGGGGAAACCCUGAUCCAGCGACGCCGCGUGAGUGAAGAAGUAUUUCGGUAUGUAAAGCUCUAUUAGCAGGGAAGAAAAUGACGGUACGUGAUUAAGAAGCCCCGUCUAACUACGUGCCAGCAGCCGCGGUAAUACGUAGGGGGCAAGCGUUAUCCGGAUUUACUGGGUGUAAAGGGAGCGUAGACGGCAGCACAAGUCUGGAGUGAAAUGCCGGGGCUUAACCCCGAAACUGCUGUGGAAACUGUGCAGCUAGAGUGCAGGAGAGGCAAGUGGAAUUCCUAGUGUAGCGGUGAAAUGCGUAGAUAUUAGGAGGAACCCCAGUGGCGAAGGCGGCUUACUGGACUGUAACUGACGUUGAGGCUCGAAAGCGUGGGGAGCGAACAGGAUUAGAUACCCCGGUAGUC
This 440-nucleotide ribosomal RNA is filed under the name uncultured bacterium. RNAcentral describes it as "partial 16S ribosomal RNA". It matches the Rfam family "Bacterial small subunit ribosomal RNA", at positions 338 to 795 of the family's 1533-position model. The record is from RNAcentral.